RNAcentral lists this long non-coding RNA (906 nucleotides) under Medicago truncatula (barrel medic). Its description in RNAcentral is "lncRNA gene13793". Lineage: Eukaryota; Viridiplantae; Streptophyta; Magnoliopsida; Fabales; Fabaceae. The record is from RNAcentral.
AUAUCAAGCAAAUCACUCACUGUUUCAAUUCCAUUACUAUUUAUUUCCUCCUUGUUUUUCUUCUUUGUAUCUUCAUGUUCCUUCAUGAUCCUCUCUAUUAUAACAUCAUACCUAUUUCUAAGAUUCUCUAGCCUUUUACCAAACCCUUGCAAAUCAAGCUUCUUAACAAACCAUAACAUAUCUCCCAAAUUGAACUUACCACCUAACACAGCCAUUUCUUUCACAAGCUCAAUCAAUUGAUGUCCUUCACCUUCAACAUCACUGCACCUUCUUUUCAAAGCCAUCCUUGUUAUGAUGUUAUUAGAAAGCAUAGUAAGUUCUUCCCCUACAUUAACCUCUUUUCUCAAGUCAGCUUUCUCCAUCAUGCCCUUUAAGAAUAACGUUAUUUCUUCAGCUCUAAUAGGAAGGUAUUGAUGAAGUAUGCGUCCGCCGAGAAGUUCGGUCAUGCAAAGCUUUUUCAUGAACUUCCAAUAAGUUCCAUAAGGAGCCAAGGCAAAAUCUGAUGAACCAUAUGUGAUGUAUUCCAAAUUGCUUUGUUUUGGUCGGUUUAAGAAACAAGUUUCGUUUGUUUUGAGGCAUUGUUUUGCCAUUUCCGGGGAAGAAACAAGAACACAAGGUUUGGAACCAAACAGAAGGUAGACCAAAGGGCCAUAACGUGAUGAGAUGUUGUGAAAUGCUUGGUGAGGGAGUUUGGUUAGAAGGUAAAGGUGUCCUAGAAUGGGUAAGGCGCGAGGGCUUGGUGGAAGGAGUGAUUUUUGGUGGAACUUGAUGGUGAAGAUCAAUCUUAGCAAGAGGAUUGAAGCUAGAAAAAUAAGGAGGAGUGCAAAAUAGUCACUAAAAUCAACCAUGAUUAAGGUUCAAAGUUAUGAUCACUAACUAUGAACAACAACACUAAAGCCUUUCUUU